GAAAUGCGAUAAGUAAUGUGAAUUGCAGAAUUCAGUGAAUCAUCGAAUCUUUGAACGCACAUUGCGCCCGCCAGUAUUCUGGCGGGCAUGCCUGUUCGAUCGUCAUUUCAACCAUCAAGCCCCCGGCUUGUGUUGGGGACCUGCGGCUGCCCGCAGGCCCUGAAAAACAGUGGCGGGCUCGCUGUCACACCGAGCGUAGUAGCAUACAUUCUCGCUCAGGGCGUGCUGCGGGUUCCGGCCGUUAAACGACCUUCAUAACCCAAGGUUGACCUCGGAUCAGGUAGGAAGACCCGCUGAACUUAAGC
RNAcentral lists this unclassified non-coding RNA (305 nucleotides) under plant metagenome. Its description in RNAcentral is "partial contains 5.8S ribosomal RNA, internal transcribed spacer 2, and large subunit ribosomal RNA". The stretch from base 1 to 105 matches the Rfam family "5.8S ribosomal RNA", at positions 50 to 154 of the family's 154-position model. The record is from RNAcentral.